RNAcentral lists this ribosomal RNA (460 nucleotides) under uncultured bacterium. RNAcentral's name for it is "partial 16S ribosomal RNA". It matches the Rfam family "Bacterial small subunit ribosomal RNA", at positions 338 to 795 of the family's 1533-position model. The record is from RNAcentral.
CCUACGGGUGGCUGCAGUGAGGAAUAUUGGUCAAUGGACGCAAGUCUGAACCAGCCAUGCCGCGUGCAGGAAGACGGCUCUAUGAGUUGUAAACUGCUUUUGUACGAGGGUAAACGCAGGUACGUGUAUCUGUUUUAAAGUACUGUACGAAUAAGGAUCGGCUAACUCCGUGCCAGCAGCCGCGGUAAUACGGAGGAUUCAAGCGUUAUCCGGAUUUAUUGGGUUUAAAGGGAGCGUAGGCGGUCGGAUAAGUUAGAUGUGAAAUCCCGAGGCUCAACUUCGGAAUUGCCUGUGAUACUGUUCGGCUUGAGAGUAGUUGCGGUAGGCGGAAUGUCUGGUGUAGCGGUGAAAUGCUUAGAGAUCAUAAAGAACACCGAUGGCGAAGGCAGCUUACCAAGCUACUACUGACGUUGAGGCUCGAAAGCGUGGGGAGCAAACAGGAUUAGAUACCCUAGUAGUC